GGGAUACAGACUUAACGUUUUCUGAUGAAUGCACCGAUAGUGCUCCAAUAUAUUACAAUAAAGAUUCUUUUCAGAUGAGUUAUUAUGAGUUAGAGUAUGUAUGGAGCUCUAUGUUUUGUAUCAUGUGCUUCGAGAGUCCAUGAUUAUCAUUUCAACCAUUCUAGAAAGACCAAAAUUUUGGGCAUACACUAGCAAGGAGAAUCAUCUGGACCAAUCUUGAAACGACACAUGGCAAGGAGACGUGUCCAAUUGCUACGAAUAGGACACGUGGAUAUUUUCAAAUGAGCGGAAUUCACAGGAGUGGCGAUUGGAGCUCUUUUAGCCGUAGGUGGGCUACUUUGCUUUAGGUUUCACCGGAAACGACUUCGAAUCGGUAGUAGCAGUUCUAAGAGGUAGCGACUAUCCCCAUUCGUGCAAAUGGUGCUGAUACUUGCACCAUCUUAUCCAAUUCGUCAAUGGGUACUGAAUCGUCAAGAACGUCUGUACAAAAUGGCGUCCCGUUGUGGCUUGGUGGUCUUAAGAAGGGUCAUGUGGUCGCUGCUUCUGGAAUUCUCGAGUAUUCUUACAAAGAUCUACAGAAAGCAACCUACAAUUUCACCUCAUUGAUAGGCCAAGGGGUGUUUGGUUUUGUUUAUAAAGCUUAGAUGACCACUGGUGAAGCAGUUGCCGUUAAAGUUCAUCGAAUUCUUCUUCAUCUUGACUGGCGCAUCUGCUGGAGCUUGCAGCGCGAUUAGCUGAGUUAUUGCAGAUCUUCCUGAGGGUCCUCGAACUCUGGUGGGAAUUGCGACAUUUGACUCGAGCAUCCAUUUUUAUAAUCUAAAACGUGCAUUACAGCAGCCUUUGAUGUUCAUAGUUCCCGACGUACAGGAUGUUUACACUCCGCUUCAAACCGAUGUUAUUGUUCAACUAUCCGAGGCUGCAUUUUUGGCAAUGAAGAGCACCGGAGGCAAACUUUUGGUAUUUCAAUCAGCCAAGCCCAUGCAUAAUAUUGGUAUCGGGGCUUUUUCUGCUAGAGAAGCUGAAGGGAGAACAUAUAUAUGUGCCGGAGAGAAGGAACUUCAUAAACUACUUCAACCAGUAGACGAGACUUUAAAGACUAUGGCUAUCGAAUUUGCUAAGUACCAGGUCUCAGUCGAUGUAUUUCUUACUACUCAAAGUUAUGUUAACAUUGC
This 1172-nucleotide long non-coding RNA is filed under the name Helianthus annuus (common sunflower). The record is from RNAcentral. Lineage: Eukaryota; Viridiplantae; Streptophyta; Magnoliopsida; Asterales; Asteraceae.